RNAcentral lists this ribosomal RNA (1438 nucleotides) under uncultured organism. RNAcentral's name for it is "SSU rRNA". It matches the Rfam family "Bacterial small subunit ribosomal RNA". The record is from RNAcentral.
CAGGCUUAACACAUGCAAGUCGAGGGGCAGCAUUUUAGUUUGCUUGCAAACUGAAGAUGGCGACCGGCGCACGGGUGAGUAACACGUAUCCAACCUGCCGAUAACUCCGGAAUAGCCUUUCGAAAGAAAGAUUAAUACCGGAUAGUAUACGAAUAUCGCAUGAUAUUUUUAUUAAAGAAUUUCGGUUAUCGAUGGGGAUGCGUUCCAUUAGUUUGUUGGCGGGGUAACGGCCCACCAAGACUACGAUGGAUAGGGGUUCUGAGAGGAAGGUCCCCCACAUUGGAACUGAGACACGGUCCAAACUCCUACGGGAGGCAGCAGUGAGGAAUAUUGGUCAAUGGGCGAGAGCCUGAACCAGCCAAGUAGCGUGAAGGAUGAAGGCUCUAUGGGUCGUAAACUUCUUUUAUAUGGGAAUAAAGUUUUCCACGUGUGGAAUUUUGUAUGUACCAUAUGAAUAAGGAUCGGCUAACUCCGUGCCAGCAGCCGCGGUAAUACGGAGGAUCCGAGCGUUAUCCGGAUUUAUUGGGUUUAAAGGGAGCGUAGGUGGAUUGUUAAGUCAGUUGUGAAAGUUUGCGGCUCAACCGUAAAAUUGCAGUUGAAACUGGGAGUCUUGAGUACAGUAGAGGUGGGCGGAAUUCGUGGUGUAACGGUGAAAUGCUUAGAUAUCACGAAGAACUCCGAUUGCGAAGGCAGCUCACUAGACUGUCACUGACACUGAUGCUGGAAAGUGUGGGUAUCCAAACAGGAAUAGAUACCCUGGUAGUCCACACAGUAAACGAUGAAUACUCGCUGUUUGCGAUAUACAGUAAGCGGCCAAGCGAAAGCAUUAAGUAUUCCACCUGGGGAGUACGCCGGCAACGGUGAAACUCAAAGGAAUUGACGGGGGCCCGCACAAGCGGAGGAACAUGUGGUUUAAUUCGAUGAUACGCGAGGAACCUUACCCGGGCUUAAAUUGCAACAGAAUAUAUUGGAAACAGUAUAGCCGUAAGGCUGUUGUGAAGGUGCUGCAUGGUUGUCGUCAGCUCGUGCCGUGAGGUGUCGGCUUAAGUGCCAUAACGAGCGCAACCCUUAUCUUUAGUUACUAACAGGUCAUGCUGAGGACUCUAGAGAGACUGCCGUCGUAAGAUGUGAGGAAGGUGGGGAUGACGUCAAAUCAGCACGGCCCUUACGUCCGGGGCUACACACGUGUUACAAUGGGGGGUACAGAAGGCGGCUACCUGGUGACAGGGUGCUAAUCCCAAAAACCUCUCUCAGUUCGGAUCGAAGUCUGCAACCCGACUUCGUGAAGCUGGAUUCGCUAGUAAUCGCGCAUCAGCCAUGGCGCGGUGAAUACGUUCCCGGGCCUUGUACACACCGCCCGUCAAGCCAUGAAAGCCGGGGGUACCUGAAGUACGUAACCGCAAGGAGCGUCCUAGGGUAAAACUGGUAAUUGGGGCUA